UAGAAGUUAUUACAAGCCAACUAAGUGUAAGAAAAUUGUUUUCUAUAAAAUUGAUCCGUACAGACUAGAAACUAGACAAAAAUAAUAACGACAAUAAUUUUACAGCAUGUAUCAUCAAACAAAAAACAGGACAGUUACAGUUAGACGAAACAUAAGACCAAAAACGACGAAAUUAGUUUCCCCCUGAAGAAGACACCAACCCCGUGUCGAAACGUUGGGCAAGUAAUAAACAUCGUUUGUUAGUUCAAGACUGAGUAGCCGGUUUUAAUUAAUUGUUGGAACCAUACAGUCGAACCUCCAGCAGAAG
Long non-coding RNA from Aedes albopictus (Asian tiger mosquito), 307 nucleotides. RefSeq lists it as uncharacterized. Lineage: Eukaryota; Metazoa; Arthropoda; Insecta; Diptera; Culicidae. The record is from RefSeq and is a predicted model, not a curated record. The transcript is spliced from 2 exons.